RNAcentral lists this ribosomal RNA (385 nucleotides) under Streptococcus sp. oral taxon 486. RNAcentral describes it as "bacterial SSU rRNA". It matches the Rfam family "Bacterial small subunit ribosomal RNA", at positions 28 to 401 of the family's 1533-position model. Lineage: Bacteria; Bacillati; Bacillota; Bacilli; Lactobacillales; Streptococcaceae. The record is from RNAcentral.
GAUGAACGCAGGCGGCGUGCCUAAUACAUGCAAGUAGAACGCUGAAGCUUGGUGCUUGCACCGAGCGGAUGAGUUGCGAACGGGUGAGUAACGCGUAGGUAACCUGCCUGGUAGUGGGGGAUAACUAUUGGAAACGAUAGCUAAUACCGCAUAAUAACAGUUGUUGCAUGACAACUGUUUGAAAGGUGCAAUUGCAUCACUACCAGAUGGACCUGCGUUGUAUUAGCUAGUUGGUGGGGUAACGGCUCACCAAGGCGACGAUACAUAGCCGACCUGAGAGGGUGAUCGGCCACACUGGGACUGAGACACGGCCCAUGACUCCUACGGGAGGCAGCAGUAGGGAAUCUUCGGCAAUGGACGAAAUGUCUGACCGAGCAACGCCGCG